Molecule: ribosomal RNA, 468 nt
Filed under: uncultured bacterium
Lineage: Bacteria
Description: partial 16S ribosomal RNA
Rfam family: Bacterial small subunit ribosomal RNA
Source: RNAcentral
GACGAACGCUGGCGGCGUGCUUAACACAUGCAAGUCGAACGGAAAGGCCCUGCUUUUGUGGGGUGCUCGAGUGGCGAACGGGUGAGUAACACGUGAGUAACCUGCCCUUGACUUUGGGAUAACUUCAGGAAACUGGGGCUAAUACCGCAUAGGAGCUCCUGCUGCAUGGUGGGUGUUGGAAAGUUUCGGCGGUUGGGGAUGGACUCGCGGCUUAUCAGCUUGUUGGUGGGGUAGUGGCUUACCAAGGCUUUGACGGGUAGCCGGCCUGAGAGGGUGACCGGCCCCAUUGGGACUGAGAUACGGCCCAGACGCCUACGGGAGGCAGGAGUGGAGAAUAUUGCACGAUGGGCGGAAGCCUGAUGCAGCAACGCCGGGUGCGGGAUGACGGCCUUCGGGUUGUAAACCGCUUUCGCCUGUGACGAAGCGUGAGUGACGGUAAUGGGUAAAGAAGCACCGGCUAACUACGUG